CUUGCACCUUUCAAGCGAGUGGCGAACGGGUGAGUAACACGUGGAUAACCUGCCUCAAGGCUGGGGAUAACAUUUGGAAACAGAUGCUAAUACCGAAUAAAACUUAGUAUCGCAUGAUACAAAGUUGAAAGGCGCUACGGCGUCACCUAGAGAUGGGUCCGCGGUGCAUUAGUUAGUUGGUGGGGUAAAGGCCUACCAAGACAAUGAUGCAUAGCCGAGUUGAGAGACUGAUCGGCCACAUUGGGACUGAGACACGGCCCAAACUCCUACGGGAGGCUGCAGUAGGGAAUCUUCCACAAUGGGCGAAAGCCUGAUGGAGCAACGCCGCGUGUGUGAUGAAGGCUUUAGGGUCGUAAAGCACUGUUGUAUGGGAAGAAAUGCUAGAAUAGGGAAUGAUUCUAGUUCGACGGUACCAUACCAGAAAGGGACGGCUAAAUACGUGCCAGCAGCCGCGGUAAUACGUAUGUCCCGAGCGUUAUCCGGAUUUAUUGGGCGUAAAGCGAGCGCAGACGGUUGAUUAAGUCUGAUGUGAAAGCCCGGAGCUCAACUCCGGAAUGGCAUUGGAAACUGGUUAACUUGAGUGUUGUAGAGGUAAGUGGAACUCCAUGGGUAA
Molecule: ribosomal RNA, 613 nt
Filed under: Leuconostoc lactis
Lineage: Bacteria; Bacillati; Bacillota; Bacilli; Lactobacillales; Lactobacillaceae
Description: bacterial SSU rRNA
Rfam family: Bacterial small subunit ribosomal RNA
Source: RNAcentral